GAUGAACGCUGGCGGCGUGCUUAACACAUGCAAGUCGAACGGAAAGGCCUCUUUUGGUGGGUCGUCGAGUGGCGAACGGGUGAGUAACACGUGAGUAACCUGCCCUUAACUUUGGGAUAACCUCAGGAAACUGGGUCUAAUACCGGAUAGGAGCGCCUGCUGCAUGGUGGGGGUUGGAAAGUUUCGGCGGUUGGGGAUGGACUCGCGGCCUAUCAGCUUGUUGGUGGGGUAGUGGCUCACCAAGGCGAUGACGGGUAGCCGGCCUGAGGGGGUGACCGGCCACAUAGGGACUGAGGGAAGGCCCAGGCGUCUAAGGGGGGGAACAGGGGGGAAGAAUGCUCCAUGGGUGGCAAGCUGGUGCCGCAGCCCCGUGGGCGGGAAGGCCGGCUUCGGGGUGUAAAACGCUUUCGAGCAUGGAACAAGUUUAUGUGACGGUACCUGCAGAAGAAGCACCGGCUAACUACGUG
This 467-nucleotide ribosomal RNA is filed under the name uncultured bacterium. Its description in RNAcentral is "partial 16S ribosomal RNA". It matches the Rfam family "Bacterial small subunit ribosomal RNA", at positions 28 to 507 of the family's 1533-position model. The record is from RNAcentral.